Molecule: long non-coding RNA, 1044 nt
Filed under: Homo sapiens (human)
Lineage: Eukaryota; Metazoa; Chordata; Mammalia; Primates; Hominidae
Description: HSALNT0377075
Source: RNAcentral
UCAAAAGCCUACAAACUUACCCCAAGAAAUAGAUUUCUGUUGUUUGCUGCGCUACACCUGAGGACUCAAGAGUGUGCUCCUGGGUCCAGGGCCUGCAAAGGCAGCAUUUUCCCCUUGAGGAUGCAUAUAUGAUGCCAUUCGAUUGAUGGCUUCAGUCCAGAGCUGGCUACUAUGUGAGUGGGCAUUUGCCAGAGAGAGGCAGUGUCAUAACGGCAUUUAGGAAUGAACACUCUAGAGCCAGAUAACUUGGAUUUGAAUCCCUGUUGUACCAUGUUUCAGCUGUGGAACCUUGGAGCAUGCCUUCGUUGAGCUGAGACCCAGGCUUCUCUGACAAACUCUGUUGAGGAAACUGGAAAUGAUCUACUAAAGAAUAUAGAUCGCUGAGUCUGAUGUUGUACGAAACUCAUAAUACCUGACUGGGGAAAAAAAAAAACCAAUGUAGGAAAAAAGUUCCAGGAGGAGGCUAUGGCUCUGGCUGCCACCACCGGUUGAGCUGGUCAGCAGGAAGUUUGACGUGCCAGAAAAACAAGGGAGGGAACAAGAAAGGCAUUUUUCCAACUUAUCCAGAUGCCUCGGAGCCUAGAGUUGAUUGGCUGAAGAGAACUGAUUUGAGUGAGUCUAUCUUUACUGGUCUAUAUUAGAUAUGGUAGGCUACAUGAUGCUAUAACAAACAAACCCCCAAAUCUCAGUGGCUUACCAUGGUAAAAGUUUAUUCUUCUGCUUACACAAAGUCCAUUGCGUGCUCAGAAGGUAACUUCUGUGGGACUCUCCUUCAAUUCCAUAGAUUCUGGGAUCCAGCUCCUUCUCUCAAGGGCCUUGGCUCUUCCCUGGGCUUUCUCUGCGGUCCCUCUGGUGGGAUAAACAAAGAGGGAGGAUUAAUUGGCAUGUUUUGGAGCCAGGCCUAGGAGUGGCAAUCUUUGCUUCUGCCACAUUUUGUUGUCCAGAACUUAGUCACAUGGGAAGCUGUUUACCCUGGAGAAGGAAACAAUCUGUGUGAACAUACAGCCAUCCCGAUACACCACCUAUUGACUGUCUGAGCAGAGA